Molecule: long non-coding RNA, 539 nt
Filed under: Androctonus crassicauda
Lineage: Eukaryota; Metazoa; Arthropoda; Arachnida; Scorpiones; Buthidae
Source: RNAcentral
CAUCUAGUUACGACAAAAAAUAUACCUUAAACUAAAAGUAAAAAGUAAAAUUUUUAAUUACGAUUCGAUUGGAAAACAAGUUUCACAUAGGUUGACGAGCCGAUAUAUCAGUUGUCUCCCCGCCUACCCGUCCUGUUCUGUGAAAUUCGUUUUCCCGCGAGUUAAGGAAAACUCCUGCUCACUAGAACGAUAUAUCGCAUCUUCUGGCAAGAACCGCCCUGUCCAGCAAAGUACAGGAAAACGCACGGCAGACGGAUGCGAAACAUCACAUCUCACUUGUCAGCAGAUACCGGCCACCAUAAUUCCACCUGUCUCCCAAAAUCUUCGGACCAUAUUCAUGGAAUAAUUUCAGCCCCAGUUCUUCUCUCUCAAGUCAAACAAAUAAAAAUUUUCUCGAAUUAUUGUUUUCUUAACUUAAUUGUUUUCAGAAGUAUUGUUUCGAAAUUCUGUUUUAAUCUCAAAAUUUAAUACUAAAUAUAUAUAUAUACAGUAGAAUCGGUUGAUAAAAAUUAUGUACAAGUGAGACUAACGUUAAAACG